GACGAACGCUGGCGGCGUGCUUAACACAUGCAAGUCGAACGGAAAGGCCCUGCUUUUGUGGGGUGCUCGAGUGGCGAACGGGUGAGUAACACGUGAGUAACCUGCCCUUGACUUUGGGAUAACUUCAGGAAACUGGGGCUAAUACCGGAUAGGAGCUCCUGCUGCAUGGGGGGGGUUGGAAAGUUUCGGCGGUUGGGGAUGGACUGGCGGCUUAUCGGCUUGUUGGUGGGGUAGUGGCUUACCAAGGCUUUGACGGGUAGCCGGCCUGAGAGGGUGACCGGCCACAUUGGGACUGAGAUACGGCCCAGACUCCUACGGGAGGCAGCAGUGGGGAAUAUUGCACAAUGGGCGGAAGCCUGAUGCAGCAACGCCGCGUGCGGGAUGACGGCCUUCGGGUUGUAAACCGCUUUCGCCUGUGACGAAGCGUGAGUGACGGUAAUGGGUAAAGAAGCACCGGCUAACUACGUG
This 468-nucleotide ribosomal RNA is filed under the name uncultured bacterium. Its description in RNAcentral is "partial 16S ribosomal RNA". It matches the Rfam family "Bacterial small subunit ribosomal RNA", at positions 28 to 507 of the family's 1533-position model. The record is from RNAcentral.